GAUGAACGCUAGCUACAGGCUUAACACAUGCAAGUCGAGGGGCAGCGGUAUCGAAAGCUUGCUUUCGGUAGCCGGCGACCGGCGCACGGGUGAGUAACGCGUAUCGAACCUGCCUCAUACUCGGGAAUAGCCUUGCGAAAGUAAGAUUAAUGCCCGGUGUUUUCAGAGUCCCGCAUGAGGCUUUGAACAAAGAUUUAUCGGUAUGAGGUGGCGAUGCGUCCCAUUAGCUUGUUGGCGGGGUAACGGCCCACCAAGGCAUCGAUGGGUAGGGGGUCUGAGAGGAAGGUCCCCCACAUUGGAACUGGGACACGGUCCAAACUCCUACGGGAGGCAGCAGUGAGGAAUAUUGGUCAAUGGGCGGAAGCCUGAACCAGCCAAGUAGCGUGCAGGAAGACGGCCCUCCGGGUUGUAAACUGCUUUUAGUUGGGAAUAAAACGGGGCUCGUGAGCCCCCUUGCAUGUACCAUCAGAAAAAGGACCGGCUAAUUCCGUGCCAGCCGCCGCCGUAA
Molecule: ribosomal RNA, 508 nt
Filed under: uncultured bacterium
Lineage: Bacteria
Description: partial 16S ribosomal RNA
Rfam family: Bacterial small subunit ribosomal RNA
Source: RNAcentral